CCUACGGGAGGCAGCAGUGGGGAAUAUUGGACAAUGGGCGAAAGCCUGAUCCAGCAAUGCCGCGUGAGUGAUGAAGGCCUUCGGGUCGUAAAGCUCUUUUACCAGGGAUGAUAAUGACAGUACCUGGAGAAUAAGCUCCGGCUAACUCCGUGCCAGCAGCCGCGGUAAUACGGAGGGAGCUAGCGUUGUUCGGAAUUACUGGGCGUAAAGAGUACGUAGGCGGUUAUUCAAGUCAGAGGUGAAAGCCCGGGGCUCAACCCCGGAACUGCCUUUGAAACUAGAUAACUAGAGUCUUGGAGAGGUUAGUGGAAUUCCGAGUGUAGAGGUGAAAUUCGUAGAUAUUCGGAAGAGCACCAGUGGCGAAGGCGACUAACUGGACAAGUACUGACGCUGAGGUACGAAAGCGUGGGGAGCAAACAGGAUUAGAUACCCUGGUAGUCCACGCCGUAAACGAUGAUAACUAGUUGUUCGGUCACUUGGUGACUGAGUGACGCAGCUAACGCAUUAAGUUAUCCGCCUGGGGAGUACGGUCGCAAGAUUAAAACUCAAAGGAAUUGACGGCUGAGACGNGCGAGACGACGACGAGGAGAG
This 591-nucleotide ribosomal RNA is filed under the name uncultured bacterium. RNAcentral describes it as "bacterial SSU rRNA". It matches the Rfam family "Bacterial small subunit ribosomal RNA", at positions 338 to 945 of the family's 1533-position model. The record is from RNAcentral.